Struthio camelus australis is the source of this 1755-nucleotide long non-coding RNA. NCBI's taxonomy places the organism in Eukaryota, Metazoa, Chordata, Aves, Struthioniformes, Struthionidae. The record is from Ensembl.
CCCGCACCCCCACGCUCUUUGUCUACUUCUACCGGCGCUACUGCUGGCUGCUCGUGGCCGCCUUCUUCAACGUCAGCAAGCUCCCCGAGCGGAUCCAGCCGGGACUCUUUGACAUCGUGGGGCACAGCCACCAGCUCUUCCACAUCUUCACCUUCCUCAGCAUCUACGACCAGGUGCACUACGUGGAGGACGGGCUGGCCGCAUUCCUCAAGGCGCCCCCGGCAGCCCCCACCUAUCUGGGCACUGUGGGCUACAUGCUGCUCCUGAUGCUCUGCCUGGCCGUGGUGGUCCGCAGGUUCCUCAGCGCCAAAGACCUCUGCAAGCAGGACUAGCCAGGCCAGCAACCCUUGGACCAGCGACCCUCAGCCCGGCCCUACCACGUCUUGAAAAUGCUGCGAAACCAGGGGCAAACGCACCUGUGGAAAAGCCAGGUCCCUUUUGCGGAGAGCUGCCAGAGAAAAUGACCAUGGAGGAACUGCUCAUACUCCUUAAACUACUAGAUUACCAGGGGAAGCAAGCAAACGCUUACUGACUGACAAACCUAUGCCAACGUGAACCAGCUGAUGGGGUUAGUUUGCAGUGCUGGUGACACUGGGGACACUGACACUCCCCUCUGCAAUCCGUGUGUGCCUCGAAUUGCAGCCUGCACAUUGGCAUAUAAUGAGUACUCCUAGCUUCUGGUGGCUUUGGAGGGACCUGUCAGCUCCGAGCUCAUCUUUGUGGAGGAGCGAUAUACCUGGUGUGUAGAAAUGUUCUCAUGCUCCAUGGUGGUGGGCUACUUCUUCUUCUGCAGCGUAUUCAUCUGAAUGUCACUAUCCAGGGUAUCUGUGCGGCUCUGAACUGUUUUGCUAGCAAGACCAGCGUCUGCCGUCUGGAAACAAAGGAAAAGUUUCAAUCUGCAUGCUGCGAUUGUAGAAAUUCAGCAGUUAAACUAGAAACACUUACUGCUUUUUGCUAAUAGGAUAGUUUUGCUUAGUUGUUCAAGUGUCAUGCUUAUUAUUUGCUUGCUGAAUCCAGCUACUAUGUCCUGUUUUUGUCAACAGUGCCCCUGCAGAAAAUGAGAGUCUGGAAACUUUAUGUUUAAGUAAACUCUCUGAGGCAGCGCAUUCAUAAGGUAUCGUUGCACUUAACUCUGUUGAUUACCAUCCACAUGCCUUACAGAAGCAAGUCAUACCUGUAGUAAUUGCCCAGCUUAUACCACUUUUCAUUGCCUAUGAGAGUCAAAAUGACCAGGUGGCCUGUAACAAGCUGAGGAGUCAGGCACUCCUGGGAUCUGAUCCCUGCUUUGCCACUACCUGUUCUGUGAUCUAGGGCAAGUUGUUUAAGCUGUGUUCAUUUUGAAUGAACUUAAUUCAUGGAAAUCACUGGAAUUGUAUCAGGGUUGAAUCUGACCCUCUGUGUUUCAGUUUCCUCAUCUGUAAAAUGGGGAGAAUAUACCUUACCUACCUCGCAGGGUUGCUCUGAAGACUAGCUACUGUUCGUAAAGCACUUAAAAAUGCAAAGACCCUUCUAGGUGCUAAGAAGUAUUACUGAACUCCGGCAGAGAGAAUGUCAUAUUUUCCAUAGCUCCUCAUCUCCCAGAGAGAGGAACUCGACUGUUUCUAGAUCAAGAAAUCUUGGGACAAACCCUCGGCUGUCACAGUCUGAGAAGGUUCGUGUCCUGUGUCCUUUGAAGUCAAUGGCAAAACUUCCACUGGCUUCGGGAGAGGGCAGUCAAGUCCUAAACACUGUCAAUAAACAGGCUGACUAAAUGCA